This 191-nucleotide unclassified non-coding RNA is filed under the name uncultured fungus. RNAcentral's name for it is "sequence contains ITS1". The record is from RNAcentral. Lineage: Eukaryota; Fungi.
UUAACUAUUAUAUAGUACUCAGACAAUAAUAAAUUCAAGAGUUGGGGGUUCUCUGGCGAGCACUCACCAGCCGAAGCCGGUGGCCGAAGCGGCUCGCCAAAGCAACAUAGGUAUGAUAACAUAGGGUUGGAGAGUCACCCGUGAGGGCGAUGUUCUCUGUAAUGAUCCUUCCGCAGGUUCACCUACGGAAA